RNAcentral lists this ribosomal RNA (262 nucleotides) under uncultured archaeon. Its description in RNAcentral is "partial 16S ribosomal RNA". It matches the Rfam family "Archaeal small subunit ribosomal RNA", at positions 748 to 1008 of the family's 1478-position model. The record is from RNAcentral.
AGGGUGUAAACGCUGCCGACUUGGUGUUGGAGGCCCUUCGGGGGCAUUCAGUGCCGGAGAGAAGUUGUUAAGUCGGCCACUUGGGGAGUACGUCCGCAAGGAUGAAACUUAAAGGAAUUGGCGGGGGAGGCACCGCAACGGGAGGAGCGUGCGGUUUAAUUGGAUUCAACACCGGAAAACUCACCAAGGGCGACUGUUACAUGAAAGCCAGGCUAAUGACCUUGCUUGAUUUUCAGAGAGGUGGUGCAUGGCGUCAGUGACU